AGUGAACGCUGGCGGUAGGCCUAACACAUGCAAGUCGAACGGCAGCACAGGAGAGCUUGCUCUCUGGGUGGCGAGUGGCGGACGGGUGAGGAAUACAUCGGAAUCUACUCUGUCGUGGGGGAUAACGUAGGGAAACUUACGCUAAUACCGCAUACGACCUACGGGUGAAAGCAGGGGACCUUCGGGCCUUGCGCGAUUGAAUGAGCCGAUGUGGGAUUAGCUAGUUGGCGGGGUAAAGGCCCACCAAGGCGACGAUCCGUAGCUGGUCUGGGAGGAUGAUCAGCCACACUGGAGCUGAGACACGGUCCAGACUCCUACGGGAGUCAGCAGUGGGGAAUAUUGGACAAUGGGCGCAAGCCUGAACCAGCCAUACCGCGUGGGUGAAGAAGGCCUUCGGGUUGUAAAGCCCUUUUGUUGGGAAAGAAAUCCAGCUGGCUAAUACCCGGUUGGGAUGACGGUACCCAAAGAAUAAGCACCGGCUAACUUCGUGCCAGCCGCCGCGGUAA
This 506-nucleotide ribosomal RNA is filed under the name uncultured bacterium. Its description in RNAcentral is "partial 16S ribosomal RNA". It matches the Rfam family "Bacterial small subunit ribosomal RNA", at positions 29 to 523 of the family's 1533-position model. The record is from RNAcentral.